UUAGAUUUGUCUAUGUUUAUUCACACAGAUAUUUUUGUUGUAGUUUCCUUUAAAGGAAUAAGCAGCUAGUAAAGAUGGGUUUUAUUUAUGGUAGUGAAUAAAUAUAUUUAAACAUUUAAAAUUUGGUUUCUAAAUUUCUAUGUCUUAUUCUAAUCACUGAUUUGUAAUGUUAUUUAUUGUUUCUUUUUUCCUACUUAGGUGAAAUCUAUUCUUGAAAGAAGUAAAGAGGAGCUGUCCCGAACAGUGAAGUGUCGUAAUGCGGCCCUGAAAGAGAGUCAGAAGUUGAAAGAAGACCUCGAGGCUGUGGAGGACAGGGAAAACAAGAAGGUGGGAAACUUUCAGCGACAACUGGCAGAAGCUAAAGAAGACAACUGCAAAGUCACAAUUAUGUUGGAGAAUGUGCUGGCUUCUCACAGUAAGAUGCAAGGUGCUCUGGAGAAAGUACAAAUAGAGCUUGGGCGGAGGGAUUCAGAGAUUGCAGGCCUCAAGAAAGAAAGGUACCUGUGGUUUUUUUUUUCCUGUCAUUGGUAUUGCUGCAUUGUACUAAGGAGCAGUGUCAAGUCAAUAAAUGAAGUCACUUUAUGUAGCUUCCUUUACAAAAAAAAAA
This 607-nucleotide small RNA is filed under the name Pongo abelii (Sumatran orangutan). Its description in RNAcentral is "processed transcript". The record is from RNAcentral. Lineage: Eukaryota; Metazoa; Chordata; Mammalia; Primates; Hominidae.